Molecule: ribosomal RNA, 253 nt
Filed under: uncultured bacterium
Lineage: Bacteria
Description: partial 16S ribosomal RNA
Rfam family: Bacterial small subunit ribosomal RNA
Source: RNAcentral
UACGUAGGGUGCAAGCGUUAAUCGGAAUUACUGGGCGUAAAGCGUGCGCAGGCGGCUUUGCAAGACAGAUGUGAAAUCCCCGGGCUUAACCUGGGAACUGCAUUUGUGACUGCAAGGCUGGAGUGCGGCAGAGGGGGAUGGAAUUCCGCGUGUAGCAGUGAAAUGCGUAGAUAUGCGGAGGAACACCGAUGGCGAAGGCGGCUCUCUGGACAGGUACCGACGCUGAGGCACGAAAGCUAGGGGAGCAAACAGG